Molecule: long non-coding RNA, 1083 nt
Organism: Oncorhynchus gorbuscha (pink salmon)
Lineage: Eukaryota; Metazoa; Chordata; Actinopteri; Salmoniformes; Salmonidae
Exons: 3
Source: RefSeq, a predicted model, not a curated record
GUCUGGAGAGUGCUAGCAGACCAGGAGGGGACAAAGAGACAGCUGAAAUCACUUCCUCAGAUGUCAACCCAAAUAAGAGGUUCUAUCCUCCAACCACAGCCGAGCUCCCACACUGAUUACAAGUGGUCCAACAAUUGCAUCACUGAAAUGCACUCAGAAUCAUCCCCCAUGGCCCACCGCAAGCCCAGAGCCAUCAAUCACUGGGGCGGACUGAGCCUUGGCCAUAGCCAGUCCUGUGUGGACUGGUCGAAGAGAGAGCUGUGUCUAACCAAUAGGAAUGAUGAAUCGGAGCUGUGGAGCGACCAGAGUUAUUAUACAUGGAGAUGUGUGAUAAAAGGCUAAUCCCUCACUCUGCAUCUCAGCAAGGUUCUCUCUCGUCUCAGAGCUGGAGAUGAGUUGAGACCAGACCAGAUGAGAUGAGCUUACUGAAAGAUCCCUCCAGCCCUGCUGGGCCUAUAAAUAGUGAGAGGGUACGUCCCAAAGGGCACCCUAUUCCUUAUAUAGUGCACUACUUUUGACCAGAGCCAUAUGGGCCCUAGGGAAUGGGAUGCCAUUUGAGACUCAGGCACAGACUGCUUUUCAAACGCUGCUUCUUCAAACGGCUCAGGCGGACUAAUGAUAAAGAUGGGGUAGAGCAAGGCUUUAUUGAUUCUAUCCAUCACAUCUUGAGAGACACCGCUAUACGAUGGCGCGUUGAUGGCUGUGUGGGUCUCUGCUCGCUCUCUCUCGUCCUCUGUCUGCGGCGGCAGAAUCAAAAGAAAAGAGAACUUGAAAUGCCACUCCAGGGCUCCAGGCCUUUUAACCACAAGCCUUCUUUGCAGUCAGCAUGACAACAGCCUGUUUACUCAGUCACAAACAAAGGUGUAGAGUCCCGCAGAAAACUAGUUCUCCACUUCCCUGCUAUUUUCAUACAUAAAUUAUUUUGGUUGACUGCUACAGAGACAUAGCCUCAAGCAAAACUGAAUGUAUUGAUCAGUGGAAAAUUUCCUGAGUGGACAAUGUCUAUUUCUUCAGUGAGUAUCAGCUUUAAUGAAGUGAAAAUAUUGAGUGCUUGUUCUGCCAUGCCACAGAGCCUGAGAUCUA